GGCUCUACAUUGGGGUUCAUGUGACUGUGCCAUAUGGUCAACCUGGGUGCUAGGAUUCAGGACUUAACAUAGGAAAAACCAAAAAGCUUGCUCUUAGAAAAGCCUAGAAAAUGAGCUACUUAGGUUGUGCUCAAUUUAACGCAACUAAGAUCUUGGUGCUGCGAAGCAAAGACUCUUGCAGUGAAAUCUCAAGUGAAGCUAAAGAUGAGAGGCAAAGGCAAAAACCUCAAUAAAUCAGUUGUUGCUAGACACAAGUUGCUCUUGUGUGUACAAAAUGUCCCAUAUAUGUCAGAGAUCUAGCUGUCAGGUAAACCUAAACUUAGAUCUGCUUUGGAACUUGGGCCAGAACUCUUGAGUGAAAGAUUUUUUACUGAAAUAUAGUUAUUUUUAAAAAAAUUAUCAAAAUAAUAUUUUUUCAAAAAUAUUUAUCAAAAUACUGUUCAGAAAAAAAUCACCAUAUCAUAGGGCAACUUUAGAUACCAACUCACCACCUUCCACGCCAUGUGAAGAGGUGAGUUGGCACUAAGAGUCACCUUAUCG
Molecule: long non-coding RNA, 540 nt
Filed under: Elaeis guineensis (African oil palm)
Lineage: Eukaryota; Viridiplantae; Streptophyta; Magnoliopsida; Arecales; Arecaceae
Description: long non-coding RNA (EGUI_LNC079128)
Source: RNAcentral